AGGGACAUAUUAUGCAAAACCAACUUUUUAAUCAUUUGAUUAUGUACAUUUGGGACUCUGGAGGGCCUAUCAGCAGGCAAAGUAUGAAAAAAAAUGACUCAGUCAUGUUUUUGUGGGCUGCCUCAGUCAGAACAUAGGAGAGAAAUCACGCAGGUUCAGAAGUGUGUAGUUUGUGAUGUCACAUGCUCUGCCUGUUGCCACCCACCUCUCUUUACUUCCUGUUGACUAUCGGAGCUCCGCCAUUGUUACUAUAAAAGGCAAGCUAGCGGAGAACAAGCAAGUCCAGCCUGCAGCCUGCAGCCUAAUGUCUGGGCAAAGGCCUCAGCAGGCAAACUGUUCAGUCAUUGGCUGCACAGCCCAACACAAAUUUACAUAUGUAAAUUUAUGUAAAUGUAUGUAAAUUAUUUUUGACGGCAAUGUCCGGCUAGAGUCACAAAAACCGGAAGGUGUGUGUGAACCUUCGUGUCGGACUGCUUUCACAACCUCGGUCAGUACAACACUGGACUGACUGAAAGACUGUUCCUGAAAGAGGGAUUGUACCAACUGUCUGUGGAGAGACGGCAGAGGAAAUAACUGUGACCUGAUGAAGCUCAGGUGUUCCUGGACCCAUCAGAGGACAGAGACAGCUGCAGCAUCAGGACAGUCUGGGUAUCCAAAGGAAGACUGAUGAAGAUGAACACUGACUGCAGAGCUCCAUUACCAGCUCACACUUCAAUAUACUAGAAACCAUAAACCUUGAUGGAGAACAUGAUCUGCACAGUUUACAUAAAAGUUAUAGCUUUGUUACUUACAACUUGUGUAACUGGAAUAUGAAUGAAAUAUUAAUAAUGUGUUUUACUUUUAAGAAGAGUUUUGGUCAUUUUUAAAUUCAGUAAUAAUUGUGGUUUUAUAUAAAUAACAUGUUAUUUCACAAAGGUUUUAUGAAGAUUUCCUGGAUGUACAAGAGUUGAAAACCUGAUUCGUGUAACAUCUAUCAAUAUGAAAAUGUGGAACUUAAACCUGUAUUAAUGACUGUAAGCAACACAAUACAUUACUGUCUCACAUUCAAACUUUAUUACAUUGGAAGAUAAAUGACAUCAUAAUACAGUAUAUAAUAUAAA
Dicentrarchus labrax (European seabass) is the source of this 1100-nucleotide long non-coding RNA. RefSeq lists it as uncharacterized. The transcript is spliced from 2 exons. NCBI's taxonomy places the organism in Eukaryota, Metazoa, Chordata, Actinopteri, Moronidae. The record is from RefSeq and is a predicted model, not a curated record.